GAGGGUACAGCUCAGUGGUAGAGUGCGUGCUUAGCAUGCAGGAGGUCCUGGGUUCAAUCCCCAGUACCUCCU
This 72-nucleotide transfer RNA is filed under the name Camelus bactrianus (Bactrian camel). It matches the Rfam family "tRNA". Rfam says of the family: Transfer RNA (tRNA) molecules are approximately 80 nucleotides in length. Their secondary structure includes four short double-helical elements and three loops (D, anti-codon, and T loops). RNAcentral also lists the same sequence under 2 other names. The record is from Rfam by way of RNAcentral. Lineage: Eukaryota; Metazoa; Chordata; Mammalia; Artiodactyla; Camelidae.